Crotalus tigris (Tiger rattlesnake) is the source of this 1262-nucleotide long non-coding RNA. RefSeq lists it as uncharacterized. The record is from RefSeq and is a predicted model, not a curated record. The transcript has 3 exons. Lineage: Eukaryota; Metazoa; Chordata; Lepidosauria; Squamata; Viperidae.
UUAUGGACUCUUGUUAUGGACACACAGAGCCUUCAGAUGCAUGCAGUUUGUACAGGACACUGUAACUACAUUAUACAUAAAAUAUGUAUCUGGUUGUUGAUGCUUAUCAAUGCUGCUAGUCUGGAUUCCGAGAAUGGAGAACCCCACUGAAUUAUGUAACAUAUCAUCUCAAUUGUCUGCAAGAAGUAUUCAGCACUCCUCCCCUGCAUCAGCUGACUCAGCCCCUACACCAGAACUUCCCUUGAGAACGUCAUCAGCUCACAGCCUUGAUGGCUUUCUAACAAGAAGGCGAAGUGAGUCGCAUACAUAUGAAACCCAAGGUGACUAAUAUGAGAAAUUUGGUUAUUUCAUCCCAACAAUUCUGUGGAGUUCACAGACAUCAGCAAGAACCAACCAAACUAGUCCACCCAGCUCCCCCCCCCCAGUGAGGUCCCUGGGGAAAUGAAAGUGAAUUUGUAUCUCUCUGAUCUGAGUCUGUUUACCUUAACCACUGCAGAAUUAUAUCUGGGCUGCAGUCUAAGAAGUUAUUUGGCUCCAGAUAUGUACCUCUAGUCCCUCAUUAUACAGUCAGAGUUUUCGAAUAAAAAUCAAUCUUCAGCACUCUUCAAAUUGUACAGAUCAGCCAAAAAUAAAAACACUGAAACACUACAAUGCAGUUUGUGUUUCACAGAAGCCAAUCUAACUAACAAGACCAUGUAACUUAUUGUCAUUAAUCAGGAAUGGUGCUGCCACAGAUUCAUCAUGAUUAGUUAUAGGUAAUUCACAAUCUUGGUUGAAAGGAAGUGAGGGUGCUGGGGGAAGGCGUGGUGUGGCAGUGAUAUGUCCAUUUUUGCUAACUGGUUUGGUUGGCUCAGCAUUGGGAUAGUUAGGAAUCCACUACUGUAGAAAUAAACAUAAUCAAUUGAAUACAUUUGACAAGCCCUUUUGACUUUACAGUCAGUGACUGCACAGUCAAUAGCACCCCUGUGAUUGACUCCUUUCAUUUACUUGGAUGUCUUUUGGACUGUGUCCCACCCAAAAAGUCAAGCUUAUUUCCAAGCACAUGUGCAUUAUUAGACUGUACUGUGAAACUCUUACCCCUAAUUUUGCUGCUUUAAAAUAUUUGUGACAACUGGAAUGGAAUCUUCAGAAAUAAAACCCGUGUCUGAUGCCAACAUUUUUAACAAUAAUUGUGCUAUACAAGAUAGUUUGAUUCUAUACAGAUUUACCUGAAAUUAUAUUUGAUUAACAGCCUAUCAUAUGGAAGGAUUUAAGAAUGUACU